GCAGGCUCGCGCUUGAAUACAUUAGCAUGGAAUAAUGAAAUAGGACGUUUGAUUCUAUUUUGUUGGUUUCUAGGAUCGACGUAAUGAUUAAUAGGGAUAGUUGGGGGCAUUAGUAUUCAAUUGUCAGAGGUGAAAUUCUUGGAUUUAUUGAAGACUAACUACUGCGAAAGCAUAUGCCAAGGAUGUUUUCAUUAAUCAAGAACGAAAGUUAGGGGAUCGAAGACGAUCAGAUACCGUCGUAGUCUUAACCAUAAACUAUGCCGACUAGGGAUCGGAUGAUGUUAAUUUUUUAAUGACUCGUUUGGCGCCUUACGGGAAACCAAAGUGUUUGGGUUCCGGGGGGAGUAUGGUCGCAAGGCUGAAACUUAAAGGAAUUGACGGAAGGGCACCACCAGGGGUGGAGCCUGCG
This 409-nucleotide ribosomal RNA is filed under the name uncultured Glomus. RNAcentral describes it as "SSU rRNA". It matches the Rfam family "Eukaryotic small subunit ribosomal RNA", at positions 780 to 1187 of the family's 1831-position model. The record is from RNAcentral. Lineage: Eukaryota; Fungi; Glomeromycota; Glomeromycetes; Glomerales; Glomeraceae.